Molecule: ribosomal RNA, 253 nt
Filed under: uncultured bacterium
Lineage: Bacteria
Description: partial 16S ribosomal RNA
Rfam family: Bacterial small subunit ribosomal RNA
Source: RNAcentral
UACGUAGGGUGCAAGCGUUAAUCGGAAUUACUGGGCGUAAAGCGUGCGCAGGCGGUUAUGCAAGACAGAUGUGAAAUCCCCGGGCUUAACCUGGGAACUGCAUUUGAGACUGCAUAGCUAGAGUACGGUAGAGGGGGAUGGAAUUCCGCGUGUAGCAGUGAAAUGCGUAGAUAUGCGGAGGAACACCGAUGGCGAAGGCAAUCCCCUGGACCUGUACUGACGCUCAUGCACGAAAGCGUGGGGAGCAAACAGG